GCCCGGUAGUGGGGGAUAACUUGAGGAAACUCAAGCUAAUACCGCAUACGCCCCAGGGGGAAAGCAGGGGAUCUUCGGACCUUGCGCUAUCGGAUGAGCCUAUGUCGGAUUAGCUAGUUGGUGAGGUAAUGGCUCACCAAGGCCGCGAUCCGUAGCUGGUCUGAGAGGAUGAUCAGCCACAUCGGGACUGAGACACGGCCCGAACUCCUACGGGAGGCAGCAGUGGGGAAUAUUGGACAAUGGGCGAAAGCCUGAUCCAGCCAUGCCGCGUGUGU
RNAcentral lists this ribosomal RNA (275 nucleotides) under Halomonas halophila. Its description in RNAcentral is "partial 16S ribosomal RNA". It matches the Rfam family "Bacterial small subunit ribosomal RNA", at positions 128 to 406 of the family's 1533-position model. The record is from RNAcentral. Lineage: Bacteria; Pseudomonadati; Pseudomonadota; Gammaproteobacteria; Oceanospirillales; Halomonadaceae.